GCAUCCAUGGUGUGGACAUUAUAGUAAAGGCGAUUUGAAGCGAUCCCAUGCUGCAUAAAGGGAUUCAAUAUCUUUUUUAUAAAAGUUAGAAACUUCAGCCCUUAAUUC
This is a non-coding RNA of Ricinus communis (castor bean), 108 nucleotides long. NCBI's taxonomy places the organism in Eukaryota, Viridiplantae, Streptophyta, Magnoliopsida, Malpighiales, Euphorbiaceae. The record is from Rfam.